CUCAUCCUGUCUUUCUUCAGCAGCAAGAAGUAACUUCCCUGCACACUAAAAGACAAACAGAAGACAUCCACAGAUUCAGGCUUCACCUUGGUUUGAGGCUGUGCACCAUUCUUAUUCCCCUACAUCACUGCGUCGUGACAUCACAAUUAUUUGUUCACUGCAGCUAGAUGGGCAAAUGACUCCCUCCUGUGAUGGAAUCAAGUGGGUGAGAAUGCAGUGAUCUGAUUUAUCGAAUAGAUUUUGACUAGGGUUUUGCUCAUUUGAGUAGAGUGAAAUACAAAGCUUAUGUCUGAACAGUGAAUUACGCACAAUAAACUUGAGUUGUCAGAACCUGAUCGUGUGAGAGGAUGUCAUUGUAGCUCCUAAUUUCUUUUCUUUGUUCACAGAUUCAGCAUUCAAGAUUCAGAUUUGAAGUUCAAGAUCCACAUUUACAGUUUCACACUGCAUGUUUGAUACCAACCUUCUGUUCCAUUUUCCUUUUGAAUUAAAGCUUCCUUUUCU
Non-coding RNA from Epinephelus lanceolatus (giant grouper), 501 nucleotides. The record is from RefSeq and is a predicted model, not a curated record. Lineage: Eukaryota; Metazoa; Chordata; Actinopteri; Perciformes; Serranidae.